UACGUAGGGCGCAAGCGUUGUCCGGAAUUAUUGGGCGUAAAGAGCUCGUAGGCGGCCUGUUGCGUCCGCUGUGAAAUCCCCCGGCUCAACCGGGGAACGGGCACCGAUACGGGCGGCCUCGAGGGGGGUAGGGGGACCUGGAACUUCCGGUGGAGCGGUGAAAUGCGUUGAGAUCGGAAGGAACGCCCGUGGCGAAAGCGAGGUCCUGGACCCUUUCUGACGCUGAGACGCGAAAGCCAGGGGAGCGAACGGG
RNAcentral lists this ribosomal RNA (253 nucleotides) under uncultured bacterium. RNAcentral's name for it is "partial 16S ribosomal RNA". It matches the Rfam family "Bacterial small subunit ribosomal RNA", at positions 524 to 776 of the family's 1533-position model. The record is from RNAcentral.